AGACAACAAUGUAUCAGCCAGUGCGGAUACAUUGAUUUAUUAAUUUAUUCAACACUGCCGGCAGCCAAGGCAGUAGUGGUACAGGUACCGUAGAAUACCGUGGGAGCGCCCAGUUUCACACAAGUGCCCAAUAUAACCAUUUCCAAAACUUCAGAAUUCUGAAAGUUAUAUGUUAAGCACCCUCUCGCUCCAAAGAGCAAGCAUCAGCCGAAAUAGUCACUCCAUUACAGUCGCUACAAGACCACUAGGGGCGAUGACGAGGAUAUUCGUUUCCUUGCGGUGGGAAAGGAAAGACCGAUGGAGGUGAAAAUAAUGCAGAGUGACAAUGAACAGUCCUUGACAGAAAACACAGUGGUUGCAGGGCUUUUGCGAGACCUUUUUGAUAAAGCGUGCAUGUAGCCGGUGUUCCCAGACUUGUGCAAUCCGCUAGCCCCACGAGGCACUCCUACACCGUCGCCAGGAAGAUCGAAUUCGCCGAGUGGCACCACCUGUUGGGGAGGAAUGCGAGCUGCACCUCGGCAUUUUAAGAAACAGAAAAAGAACCAAGUGGGACACUAAGUACGACGUGCUUAGGCACCGCAACUAUGGCAAGCAGAAGAUGAAGCAUGAUCUUAUGGUCGCAUGAUCCUUUAAGAGUGCCUCCAGGACACCAAGACUACAACUUGGACUGGUCCAUGGGUUGGGGCUUGUCAUGGCCUGCGCGUGCCAGGGGUGUAAUACGAUUGGCUGCUCGCUAUCGCGGGGAGCCAACAUGGAAUGCCCACUCCCCCUGGCAUGAUCUGGCCUUGGCGGCACCAGUUCACGAAACACCCUGCUUCCAGCAUUGAUGAGCCCUUGGGUGCCCCUGGAGAACCUGCGCUGCCUGCUUCACGAUAAUCUCACAUGCUCUUCCGAGGCCUCCGUUUGCCAGUUGUAUGUGUCUCCAGGGGUACUACUUGUAAAAAAUUCAGUCUAUUGCUGCAAAAAACCACACCCUGUAACGAAAAAAGUGCUCCACGACUUCUUUAACGCCCGUCAGAAUCUUGCUUUUUUUGUACAAGUGCACUUGCCCUUCUCAUGACCAGUAAUAAAGGUGACCACAUUCUAUUUUCAUGUGAA
Long non-coding RNA from Dermacentor andersoni, 1098 nucleotides. RefSeq lists it as uncharacterized. NCBI's taxonomy places the organism in Eukaryota, Metazoa, Arthropoda, Arachnida, Ixodida, Ixodidae. The record is from RefSeq and is a predicted model, not a curated record.